UCUUUUUCUCCUUGUGCUCCAUCCUGCUGUGGUGCUCCUACCUCACAGCUGUCUGUCCUGCCUGCUGACACCCAGCCACCAUGUGGGAGUUUGUGGCUUUCUUGGGGCUCAUCCUAGCCUGUUUCUUUUGGCUCAGACAAAGGUCUCCUGGUGCCAACUACCCAAAGAGCCUCCCAUCUCUGCCCAUAGUGGGUAGCCUGCCAUUCUUUCCCAGAAGCGGCCACAUGCACAUCAAACUAUUCAAGCUGCAGAAAAAAUAUGGCCCCAUCUAUUCCUUCCGUAUGGGCUCCAGAACUACAGUGGUCAUCGGCCACCACCAGCUGGCCAGGGAGAUGCUUGUCAAGAAGGGGAAGGAAUUCUGCGGACGGCCCCUGUCACUGAUGAGUUUAGACCUCAUGUCAGACAAAGGGAAGGGCAUCGCCUUCGCUGACUUCAGUGCCACGUGGCAGCUGCACCGGAAGCUGGUACUAAGCACCUUUUCCCUGUUCAGGGAUGGCAACCUGAAGCUGGAGAACAUCAUAUGUCGGGAGGUUGGCGCAUGGUGUGACUUUCUGGCCACCCUCAAUGGACAGGACAUAGAUUUGUCCUUGUCAGUCUUCACAGCGAUCAUCAACAUCAUCUGCACGAUUUGCUUCAAUAUCUCCUACAAGGAUGGGGACCCCGAGUUGGUGGCCAUAAGGAGCUUCACUAAAGGUUUCGUGGAGAACGUGAGCGAGAGCAAUCUGAUGGACAUACUCCCCUGGGGGAAGAUUUUCCCCAAUAAAACCAUAAAAAUGAUAAGGAAAUAUCUUAAAAUUCGAGAUGUAAUGCUGAAGAAGAAACUGAAAGAGCACAUGGAGAAAUUCAGAAGUGACUCUGUCACCAGCCUGACAGACCUCCUGAUCCAGGCCAAGAUGAAUGCAGACAAUAACAAUUACGGCCUACAAGAGGAUUCAAACAUGUUUUCAGAUAGACACAUUAUCACCAUCUUGGGGGACGUCUUCGGGGCCGGUGUGGAGACCUCUGCUUCCGUCGUGAGUUGGAUGGUAGCCUUGCUGAUGCACAACCCUCGGGUGAAGAAGAAGAUCCAGGAGGAGAUUGACCAGAACGUGGGCUUCAGUCGUACCCCGACCUUCAGUGACCGGAACCAGCUCCUCAUGCUGGAGGCCACCAUCCGAGAGGUCCUCCGCAUCCGGCCAGUGGCCCCGGUGCUCAUCCCGCACAAGGCUCUGUCCGACUCCAGCCUCGGGGAGUUCGCCAUUGACAAGGGCACAAACGUGGUUGUCAACCUGUGGGCUCUGCAUCAUGAUGAGGAGGAGUGGGACCGACCGGACCAGUUCCUGCCAGGGCACUGGUAAGGUCUCCCUGGAACUUGGUCGCUUGGGGCAGCAGACAACCAGUUGUCACUUGUGAGAAAUGAGCUCAGUGAUCCAGGAGCCUGGGCAUCAAGGGACACGCACAGCCUCUGGAAACACUCUAACAGAACCACCCCUAGAUGGUACAUGCUCCACUGCGGUCACCGGGAGCCCGGCAGGAGUGAAGCAGCCACCUGUCAAGACCCCACCAGCCCAGGGGCGAAGAUGCGGCCAAGGCUGGUCAGGCCAACUCUGGACUGGCAAAGACACUGGGGCCGGGCACAGACCAGUCCGGGAGGGAGGGCGGUGCCCACUGCCGCACCCCAGGGACCCUGCGACUGCUGAGCCUCUGCUUGGGAAGCAGGGGCCUUUCCUGGGAGCUGCCAGGUUGUUCACUCCAGCCACCGGCAGGCAGCCCAAAGAGAAGUCGUGCCAAGGCUGUCCUCCUUCUGGGGCAGAGGUGGCUGGCCGCAGUUUCCCACUGCCUGGGCGCAGGGCCUGUGUGUACCUACCUGACUCAAGUUCUAAGCAGGGCCGUUAAGCAAGGAGGAAAAGGACAAAGGAUGUCCCACUGUUCUGGUAAGGAAUCAAGGUCUCAAACUACCUGCUGCUCCCCCGACCCCGGUCCCUGAGCUUCACCAAACUCCCUCUUACCUUGGGGAUUAGCAACUCUCACACCGGCACCUUCCGUCUUCCUAACUCAAAGUUCUAGAGGGCUGGGCUUUGUCUCGUGUGGUUAGUUUAUAUUUCCUCAGCAUCUAGCACAGUGCUUAGCACAAAGCAGCAACUCAAUGUGCAUUUUGUAUAUUAAAUUCCAAGGCCUA
Heterocephalus glaber (naked mole-rat) is the source of this 2158-nucleotide RNA transcript. It is a transcript of the gene named cytochrome P450 family 17 subfamily A member 1, with no coding region annotated. The record is from RefSeq and is a predicted model, not a curated record. Lineage: Eukaryota; Metazoa; Chordata; Mammalia; Rodentia; Bathyergidae.